GCCUGGGUGGCUUGGUCGGUUAAGCGUCUGACUUCAGCUCAGGUGAUGAUCUCACAGCUCGUGAGUUCGAGCCCCGCGUCAGGCU
Molecule: transfer RNA, 85 nt
Filed under: Felis catus (domestic cat)
Lineage: Eukaryota; Metazoa; Chordata; Mammalia; Carnivora; Felidae
Rfam family: tRNA
About the family: Transfer RNA (tRNA) molecules are approximately 80 nucleotides in length. Their secondary structure includes four short double-helical elements and three loops (D, anti-codon, and T loops).
Source: Rfam by way of RNAcentral